Astatotilapia calliptera (eastern happy) is the source of this 344-nucleotide long non-coding RNA. NCBI's taxonomy places the organism in Eukaryota, Metazoa, Chordata, Actinopteri, Cichliformes, Cichlidae. The record is from Ensembl.
CAUAUUCAACAGCACGUGUUCAAGGUUUAUCAAGAGCUGUGUUCGUCGCGAACGGUUACCUAAUGUCACAACCGUCUCAACUUCGAGUGAUCCUUGCAGAUCAUGAUGUCCGUAAAGUUGUACUACCAUCUGGAAUCCCAGAAACGGUGGAUGACCUUUAUUCAGCCAUCCGUGAUACCUUUUCCAUUACAAGAGACUUCUGUCUUCACUAUAAAGAUGCUGAUUUUGGUGAUGAGUUUUUUACCCUUGUUUCGACAACUGACCUUAAGGACAAGGACACAAUCAAGAUUGUGUUUCUCCAGGACCAGGAGCCUACAAUAACCUUGACCUUAAGUGAUGUGACC